This 274-nucleotide ribosomal RNA is filed under the name uncultured prokaryote. RNAcentral describes it as "partial 16S ribosomal RNA". It matches the Rfam family "Bacterial small subunit ribosomal RNA", at positions 524 to 794 of the family's 1533-position model. The record is from RNAcentral.
UACGUAGGGUACGAGCGUUGUCCGGAAUUACUGGGCGUAAAGAGCUCGUAGGUGGUUUGUCACGUCGUCUGUGAAAUUCCGGGGCUUAACCUCGGGCGUGCAGGCGAUACGGGCAAUACUUGAGUGCUGUAGGGGAGACUGGAAUUCCUGGUGUAGCGGUGAAAUGCGCAGAUAUCAGGAGGAACACCAAUGGCGAAGGCAGGUCUCUGGGCAGUUACUGACGCUGAGGAGCGAAAGCAUGGGGUAGCGAACAGGAUUAGAUACCCCCCGUAGU